UAACCGUCUCCGCAUUUUCGUCCUUUCGUGAAAAAAUUCGAAUCUCUCCGGGAGAGACCUGUCUCCGCCGGAUCGGGACCACGCCGGAUAUCGGUCGGUCAUGAAGGCGGAGAAGUGGUGGAAGGGGGCCAAAGGUCAAGCGGAGAACGAUCGUCAGACCUGUGUUUAGGUUCUAGGUGUCCUGAGACUGGUUCGCGUGGUGCUUUUCUGAUCAACAAGUAGUCAAGUAUAUGUUGUUACUUUGGAAAUCUCACCUACAUUUCCUCUUGAUGAGUCACCAGGAUUUCUUUCUACAGAGUUGCCCUGUGAGUUCUUGCCUACAUUUUUUUUCUUAUUCUUAUCUAUGCAAAUAUGGUACCUUCAUUCAUGUACAUUCGAAUUGCAAGAAGUGGGGGUGGUGGGGUUCUAAAAAAUGGUUGUUAGAUUGUUGUUUGGACAGUAAGGUUUCAAUCAAAGAUGAAAUAAAAAGAUUUGAUAAUAUUGUACACAAUCCACAUGAAAUUUUUUAAUGAAAGUAGUGAAAGGGGAAAUCA
Tarenaya hassleriana is the source of this 533-nucleotide long non-coding RNA. RefSeq lists it as uncharacterized. The record is from RefSeq and is a predicted model, not a curated record. The transcript has 2 exons. Lineage: Eukaryota; Viridiplantae; Streptophyta; Magnoliopsida; Brassicales; Cleomaceae.